AUGCUUUGUGUGGGAGAGAAGCCGUCCAGUAGUAAACUCUGCCUUGGAAACUUCAUGAAGCAGAGAAGGAUCUGAAGGAUAAGGUAGGUUUCUUUUGGCAAUGGCCGCGACUAUCACCUGUAACAUAGGGGUCAAAGGGCUACCAGAAGGUGUCCGGUAACGAUAAAAUGGUUUUCCAAUGAGGAAGAUGAGAAGUGAAAUAGCCAUGAUUGUAGUGAAUAUGAUGCCGGCAACACCCCAACCAACCCGGUCUUCGAUAUAGACAAGGACAGUCACAGACGUUAGGAUACCAGCACAUAGACAAACGUUCCACCAGUUAAAAUAAGACAUCCUCAUCUUUCUUUCUUCAACAUGAUCAUCAUCGAACUGGUCAGCACCAAAGCUCUCAAGGCAUGGCUUAUGACCUCCAGUCCCUAUGGAGAUCAAGUAUAUGGCAAUGAAGAAGGCUAUUUCGUGUGCUUUCCUAGGCUCAACGCACACUUCUUUAUGACAAGGUUUCAAGCCCGGUAUGAACCAGGACAUUGUUAAAAGGACCAAACCCUGUUGAUGAGACAAGAGGAAAUAAUUAAAUAUUGUUUUUGGAAUCUUUUGAGCUAAAAUUGGAUCAAAGUAACGUUAUAUUACCAUAAGGUAAAUAGUGGUUGCAACCAAGACAGUGGUGUAACGGCCAAGAUAAGCAUCUGCUACAAAGCCUCCAAAAAGAGGCAUCAAAGUAGUGACACCUGACCAGUAGUUCACAUUUUUUACAGCCGUCUUGAGAUCUUGGUGGAUAAUUGUUGUUAAGUAGACCACUAAGUUUGUAGCUAAACCAAAGUAACUCAAUCUCUCGCUGAACUCGAUUGCUGCGCAGUGAAUAUGGACCAAAAGACUUUAACAAAGAUUUACAAUUUUGAGCUAUUACUAUAGCAUACUUUCAGUAUUACAAUUAUGUGGUGUAUAUAUAAAGUUUAUGUAUAAAAAACUAAGUGAAAGUUUUGUUACCGAUGAUGAAGAGGGCAGCUUUCCAAGCACCAGUUCGAGCCCGAAGAGGAACAUGUCCUCUGCUGUCGAGAGAAGAAUCAAGAACCCAAUUGUGUUGAUCAUUGUACGAAUCUUGAAGUUCUGACCCAAUAUUAUUAUGCUUCAUCUGUUCAAAGUUAACAACACAAUAAAGAGUUGAUUCUUGAGGAGUGUGUGUGUGUGUGUGUGAGUGUGUGUGAGAGAGAGAGAGAACUGUGAAGUGAUUUGUUUAAGUAGAAGCAAACUUGGUCCUCUAUAUAUAAGCUUAAGCUCCCUGUUUGACUAACUAUCAUCGACAGUGUUUUAUAGAUUCUCUGCCCACAUUGUCUUAUUUUCAGCCACAAAUAGUUUUCCAUUUUCUAUUUUGUUUUGCAUGAACGUGGAGGAAGAUACGUAAAGGCGAGGUCGUAUUCAUACAGAUGAACUUGCAAUAACUCACAAGUGUACGAGAGAAUAAUAAGAGAAAUGUAAAACAUAAGAAAGCUCUCAAAUGGAUUGCUUGUUCAACAACUUCGUCUAUUAAAACUUAUCUUAACUUCGUAUUUUCAUCAAAUCUAAACAUAAAGUGAAACUCCCAAGCUUAAAAUAUAAUCAUAAACUUGUUCUUGGACAAAUUAAAACUAAUUCUCCUUUUUAAUAUUUCUUAUUUUAGAACUCCGAAGAUAUUCUUACUCUUUUCACAAUCAUAUCUCCAAAAGCCAAUAUAUACUACCAUCUUCUUUAAACACUAGACUCUAAACCCACUAUGAUCGUAGAUGCUUUUUUGAUCAAAGAUCAUAGAUGCUUUACUUCGAUAAAAACAAGCAAAGACGAAUACUUAGUCCAAUAAGUUGAAUGCUUCCUUUAUUCACUUGUAUGGAAUUAAUAGAUCUCAUUCUCUUAGGAAGCUUUUCAUUUACCGUAACAUCAAUAAAAAUGGUGAAUUUAUGGGAAUCACCCUCCUUUUGCUAGAAGAAAAGGUACCGUCAUCUUCACUCUAACAUGAAUGAUUUCUUCCUUCCAUAUUUCAUAAAAACUAAAACUAUUGGUCUACGUAUUUAACUCUUCUUACCGACAAUCUUUACGGACGGCAGCGAUCGUAGAUGAUAGGUUUGAAGUUGGAAGAUGGACAGAGGUUCGAUCAUCUCCAGGCUCUUGCAAACAAAAACUUAGAAUCCCCGGUAUAGUUUUAUAUAUCACAGUCAAAUUUCUCCAACGCCGUACAUUCAUAUUAGCUACUGAUUCUUAAUUCCAUUUGUUAACUUUCAGAUGUUGUUGGCCAAAAACGUUUUCUGCUAGGCACUGACCUCAAAAACGCCUCAACAACGACUCGGCUUAUGGUAUGUUUUAAUCUCAUUGACCCAAGCCCGCUUUCACAUAGUUCUCAUGUUUUUAUCCAUUUGCUCAUGCUUUAAGAAAACUUAUAUAAUCUCAUACACCAGUACGGUGGUCGUGUACUUGCUUUGUGUGACUGACGAUGAUGCGGCCCCUUUAGGGGUCUUAUGAACUCAGAUGAUAUAACCCAGUUUGUCAUGGUGGUCACCACGGUCAGUCCAAAAAAUAUUUAGGGAUAGUCAUCUAUUUUUUCUCAAGAAACAUGUUGAUGCUAAACAAUUUCUGCUGAAUAUAGUACUUUCAUGCAUAUAUUUAACAGAAUAACAUCAUCUAAUAUAACACACACGUACAACUGUGUUUCAGACUGCCAGCAGCAACAAAACUCCAGACGUGGAUUCCCAAUCUAUACUACCAGCAGCAACUGUUAGCUACACGGUUCAUGUGCCCAGGAGAGCCGAAGAAGUUGAUGAAGCAAUGUCAAGCUUUGAAAACGAAGAAAAUAGGCACGUGAGUGAUUGUUUCAAGUCCAUCAAACCGUCAUCCCCACUUAGCUUAUGUGUCAAUGAAAUAACCAUUUUCGUAUGUUUUUUCCUACUUUCAACUUUGGUUGUCUUUAAUUAUCUGCAAACUAUUUCCCACCAGGAGAAGAGUUACUUGGUUUUUAAAUAAAGGGGAACGUUGGUGGGUCUUUGCAUUUCGUGAAAAUAAGCAUGUCUUUUGCUUCAUGCAUGAGAACAUGUUCAGAUAGUUACAUGGCAUCGACGUUAAACAAUGCAACAAAGAAACCAACUAAAAUCCAAUAGCCACCAAAACAAAACAAAAACUCCAGAAAAGUGACACAAGCACACCAUCAUAUGUUCCUCGGUGGGAAUUGGGAUGCAGACAACUGAAUACAAAAAUUAUAUAUGUAUCAACUGGUCUUCGUUCACAAAGCGUCCUACACGUAAUCAACAACAAACAGCUGCCUUCCUACUAAUCCCACCAUCUCCGACCCUCUGCUUUGCCAAAUAACUGCAUGCACCAACACAAGCGUAAGAACAACAUAACUAACAACGCUAACACUAAGUAAAACUGAACAACAACAUCAUACACAAAUAACCCCGCGCUUGCGCGGGGCUCGGCCUCUAGUAUUUUUAAAUUAAGCAGCAACCAUUAACCUUUUUUCUUUCUUUUUUAGCAACCAUUAUCUUCGUUUCCAUCAAAUUAAUAUAAUUGGAUGAAGUCUACAAUAUGUGAUGAUCAAUGUGAAAACCUCGAAGAAGAAGAAGAAGAGAUACAUUACUGGAGCAUUCUUUAACAAAGUUAUUUAUUUAGGCAACGGACACGGACGAGUCAACAACGACUUGGUUUGGCUGCACGCUUUUGUAAGGACAUCUCUUUGCCACAACAACAAAGACACAUAUAUUAGCAGCGGUUACACCGGCUAGAAACCAGUAGAACCGGUCCAACCGGCUACUGUUCAGGUCCUUCCCGAACCAACUCUUGGCCGAGAAAUCAUCAGCUAGCGUAUCAACCGCUGUGAUCAGUAGAUUAUUAAGGAAGUUAGCUGCUCCCAACACGCUUAGGUAAAUCGCUAUACCUAAGCUUCUCAUGGAAUCAGGGACUUGGUCGUAGAAGUACUCUUGAAGUCCAACGAGUGUGAACGCGUCCGCAACGCCAAUGACUAUGAACUGAGGAGCUAGCCAUAUCACACUCAUUGGUUCGUUGUUUUCACUACGGUCCAGUCGUUUUUUCUCAACUAGAGCUGCAAUGAUCAUUGUGGUAAGGGAGAAAAGCAUACCGGUCCCGAUUCUCUGGAGAAUAUUGAUGCCUCUUUGAUUCCGUGUGACGCGUCUCAGCAAGGGAACGAAGAUUUUAUCAUAGAUGGUGAGUGAAAUGAUCAAGGAGAGAGCAGUGAGGGAGAACAUGGAAGCGGGAGGGACUGUGAAGCUGUUGUUACCCGUGAUGUGUCUGUCCAUGAUGGUUGCUUGUUUGAUGAAGAAAGUAUUAGUUUGUGUAGCACAAAUGCCAAAGACUAAUGUAGAGAGCCAUAUGGGUAUCACGUUGAUGAUCAGCUUCGCUUCCUCUACUUUUGUUAACGUUACAAGUCUCCAUGGACUCUGUUUCUGAAGAUCUAGAGGAGUGUUAUCUUCGAUUAUUGCUGCCUUGUCAAGAAAUCUGCAAGAAACAAAUAACCGCAUUGUUAUAACGGAUCUGAGAAAGACAUACAGAUGAUAAAAAACAUGAUAAAUAAAAAUACAAAAAUUUAACAUGGUUCACUAAAUUGGCUACGUCUUUCGAACCGAUUUAAAGCAUAUCAACACACCCCAGAAUCAGUUUAGAAUGCACAAAAAAUCAGAAAUUAACAAACAUAGACAUUUUUGAGUUCGUUUCUACUCACUUAAGAUGCUUUGUGUGGGAGAGAAGCCGUCCAGUAGUAAACUCUGCCUUGGAAACUUCAUGAAGCAGAGAAGGAUCUGAAGGAUAAGGUAGGUUUCUUUUGGCAAUGGCCGCGACUAUCACCUGUAACAUAGGGGUCAAAGGGCUACCAGAAGGUGUCCGGUAACGAUAAAAUGGUUUUCCAAUGAGGAAGAUGAGAAGUGAAAUAGCCAUGAUUGUAGUGAAUAUGAUGCCGGCAACACCCCAACCAACCCGGUCUUCGAUAUAGACAAGGACAGUCACAGACGUUAGGAUACC
RNAcentral lists this long non-coding RNA (4989 nucleotides) under Brassica napus (rape). RNAcentral's name for it is "long non-coding RNA (BNAP_LNC013031)". The record is from RNAcentral. Lineage: Eukaryota; Viridiplantae; Streptophyta; Magnoliopsida; Brassicales; Brassicaceae.